UAAUAAUUUGGUUUUGCUAUCGUAGCCAUCUUGAAAAUUGCCAAUUUGCAGACGAACGCGUUUUCAAAACUCUAUCAUUCCGCGUAACUAGAUCGAGUUCGAGAUUAAAUCGGUUCUUUUCGGAACAUAUCGAAUCUAUUGGUGGUUAUCAAAGGAUACCGAUGAGAUAUGACCCCGCAUGAAGUUUCAAUAGAAACACCUAAAUUAUAAUCAACCGUAGCCGCUUGCUAGCUGAUUCUCGCACUAUCAGGUGUAUUGUAAUAUCCUAGAAGGAGAACCCAGAUCACACUUCCGGUAUUGGUGCGAAAAUGCAAGAUACUCUUCCGACUGCAAUUUCACCAUCCGGAAGAAGCUGGAACAGACUGUACUUCUUUAAAAAUAUCACCCGCCAGUCAAAAAUAAAUACAUCACCCUCCGGUGAACGGACAGCACUGAAGACAAUGAUAUUUUUAACACUUUCUUCAUCUACAAAAUGUCAU
This is a long non-coding RNA of Uranotaenia lowii, 479 nucleotides long. RefSeq lists it as uncharacterized. The record is from RefSeq and is a predicted model, not a curated record. The transcript has 3 exons. NCBI's taxonomy places the organism in Eukaryota, Metazoa, Arthropoda, Insecta, Diptera, Culicidae.